RNAcentral lists this long non-coding RNA (486 nucleotides) under Pan troglodytes (chimpanzee). RNAcentral's name for it is "long non-coding RNA NONPTRT015285". Lineage: Eukaryota; Metazoa; Chordata; Mammalia; Primates; Hominidae. The record is from RNAcentral.
AGGACAAGCCAUCUUGGGAAAAUGAGUCAAGAACUUCCGAACUCAACAUUUAGGAAAUGUUUUUUGUUUUUGUUUUUGCCAAAAUUCAUCCAUAAAGGUGAGAUUUGAGGUGUAGCAAAAUGUCUUGGCUCUUCUGAAUAUUUUUCAAACCAUUCAGUGUUUAACCUUUGUUGUUGUUACUCCCCCCGCUCCUUUUUUUUUUUUUUUUUUGAGACAGAGUCUCACUCCAUCGCUCAGGCUGGAGUGCAGUGGUGCGAUCUAGGCUCACUGCAACCUCUGCCUCCUGGGUUCAACCUCUGCCUCCUGGGUUCAACCUCAGCCUCCUUAGUGGCUGGGAUUACAGGUGUGAGCCACCACACCCGGCUAAUUUUUGUAUUUUUCAAUUCAAUUUCCCAACCUCUUUAUUUUCCACUACUUUCCUAUGGCUAUCCUAUGCUCUAACCUAACUAGAUGGUUUUACUUCCAACUUGCCUAAACUUUCUCAUC